UAUCACCAUUUUGGUACCUUGCUUCUCACCUUUAGAUGACUGUGAGGUCACUUAAAUGCAGUAGAGAAGAACCUUUAAGUUGAAGGAUCCUUGGGAUGUUAAGGGAAGGAGCCCCAGCUUAGAAUCAAAGGACAUGGAUUCAAAUUUCAACUCUGCUUGAUACUUCAUUCCCAACACUGUUGCAUGGCUUCUGGUAAUGAAACAGAAAAAAAUUAGAGAUGAGGAUGAUCCAAAG
This 235-nucleotide long non-coding RNA is filed under the name Monodelphis domestica (gray short-tailed opossum). Its description in RNAcentral is "lncRNA (ENSMODG00000031090.2)". The record is from RNAcentral. Lineage: Eukaryota; Metazoa; Chordata; Mammalia; Didelphimorphia; Didelphidae.